CGAUGAACCUCCUUCGGGAGGGGAUUAGUGGCGAACGGGUGAGUAACACGUGGGCAAUCUGCCCUGCACUCUGGGACAAGCCCUGGAAACGGGGUCUAAUACCGGAUACGACACACGGAGGCAUCUCCUGUGUGUGGAAAGCUCCGGCGGUGCAGGAUGAGCCCGCGGCCUAUCAGCUUGUUGGUGAGGUAACGGCUCACCAAGGCGACGACGGGUAGCCGGCCUGAGAGGGCGACCGGCCACACUGGGACUGAGACACGGCCCAGACUCCUACGGGAGGCAGCAGUGGGGAAUAUUGCACAAUGGGCGCAAGCCUGAUGCAGCGACGCCGCGUGAGGGAUGACGGCCUUCGGGUUGUAAACCUCUUUCAGCAGGGAAGAAGCGCAAGUGACGGUACCUGCAGAAGAAGCGCCGGCUAACUACGUGCCAGCAGCCGCGGUAAUACGUAGGGCGCAAGCGUUGUCCGGAAUUAUUGGGCGUAAAGAGCUCGUAGGCGGCUUGUCGCGUCGGUUGUGAAAGCCCGGGGCUUAACCCCGGGUCUGCAGUCGAUACGGGCAGGCUAGAGUUCGGUAGGGGAGAUCGGAAUUCCUGGUGUAGCGGUGAAAUGCGCAGAUAUCAGGAGGAACACCGGUGGCGAAGGCGGAUCUCUGGGCCGAUACUGACGCUGAGGAGCGAAAGCGUGGGGAGCGAACAGGAUUAGAUACCCUGGUAGUCCACGCCGUAAACGGUGGGCACUAGGUGUGGGCCACAUUCCACGUGGUCCGUGCCGCAGCUAACGCAUUAAGUGCCCCGCCUGGGGAGUAC
Molecule: ribosomal RNA, 804 nt
Filed under: Streptomyces sp.
Lineage: Bacteria; Bacillati; Actinomycetota; Actinomycetes; Kitasatosporales; Streptomycetaceae
Description: bacterial SSU rRNA
Rfam family: Bacterial small subunit ribosomal RNA
Source: RNAcentral